RNAcentral lists this ribosomal RNA (602 nucleotides) under Salmonella enterica. RNAcentral's name for it is "bacterial SSU rRNA". It matches the Rfam family "Bacterial small subunit ribosomal RNA", at positions 836 to 1438 of the family's 1533-position model. The record is from RNAcentral. Lineage: Bacteria; Pseudomonadati; Pseudomonadota; Gammaproteobacteria; Enterobacterales; Enterobacteriaceae.
GGCGUGGCUUCCGGAGCUAACGCGUUAAGUAGACCGCCUGGGGAGUACGGCCGCAAGGUUAAAACUCAAAUGAAUUGACGGGGGCCCGCACAAGCGGUGGAGCAUGUGGUUUAAUUCGAUGCAACGCGAAGAACCUUACCUGGUCUUGACAUCCACAGAAGAAUCCAGAGAUGGAUUUGUGCCUUCGGGAACUGUGAGACAGGUGCUGCAUGGCUGUCGUCAGCUCGUGUUGUGAAAUGUUGGGUUAAGUCCCGCAACGAGCGCAACCCUUAUCCUUUGUUGCCAGCGAUUAGGUCGGGAACUCAAAGGAGACUGCCAGUGAUAAACUGGAGGAAGGUGGGGAUGACGUCAAGUCAUCAUGGCCCUUACGACCAGGGCUACACACGUGCUACAAUGGCGCAUACAAAGAGAAGCGACCUCGCGAGAGCAAGCGGACCUCAUAAAGUGCGUCGUAGUCCGGAUUGGAGUCUGCAACUCGACUCCAUGAAGUCGGAAUCGCUAGUAAUCGUGGAUCAGAAUGCCACGGUGAAUACGUUCCCGGGCCUUGUACACACCGCCCGUCACACCAUGGGAGUGGGUUGCAAAAGAAGUAGGUAGCUUAA